AUACUUACCUGAUAGAGGUGAUACCACGAUCACGAAGGUGGUUCACCCAGGGCAAUGCUCGGCCAUUGUACUUCGGUUGUGCUGACCUUUGCGAAUUCCCCAAAUGCGGGAAUCUCGACUGCAUAAUUUCUGGUGGUGAGAGACUGCAUUUGUGCUCUCUCCUG
Molecule: small nuclear RNA, 164 nt
Organism: Pygocentrus nattereri (red-bellied piranha)
Lineage: Eukaryota; Metazoa; Chordata; Actinopteri; Characiformes; Serrasalmidae
Gene: U1
Rfam family: U1 spliceosomal RNA
About the family: U1 is a small nuclear RNA (snRNA) component of the spliceosome (involved in pre-mRNA splicing). Its 5' end forms complementary base pairs with the 5' splice junction, thus defining the 5' donor site of an intron.
Source: Ensembl